CAUCUUCCUAGCUAGCGAUCACAUGGCAAACACGGUCUACUUUGUCUCUCUUUUCCUUGUCUUCAACAUGAUAAUUUUCUUUCCGCCGCCUUCAAAUGCUAUCUCUUCAUGCAACGGCCCAUGCAGGACUGAAAAUGAUUGUUCCGGCCAACUCAUUUGCGUCAAUGGCAAAUGCAACGACGACCCAGAAGUUGGAACCCACACUUGCUCAGGAAGCAACCCUGCGCCGCCUUCAAACGGUGAUUGCAAGCCGUACGGAACCCUUAGAUGCAACGGAAAAUCAUACCCCAAGUACUCAUGUUCUCCACCAGUCACUUCCUCAACAAAGGCUAGUCUAACUCUGAAUGAUUUCAGUAAAGGCGGCGAUGGUGGUGGUCCAUCUGAGUGUGACGAUAAGUACCACGAGAAGACAGAGCGUGUGGUGGCGCUUUCGACUGGGUGGUAUGCCGGAGGAACAAGGUGUGGGAAGAUGGUAAGAAUUACAGCUGGAAAUGGAAGGAGUGUGUUAGCAAAAGUGGUUGAUGAAUGUGACUCGAGGAAUGGGUGCGACAGUGAACAUGCAGGGCAGCCACCUUGUCACAAUAACAUUGUAGAUGGGUCUGAUGCGGUUUGGGAAGCUCUGGGCCUGAAUAAAGAUUUGGGUGUUGUGGAUGUUACUUGGUCAAUGGCCUAGCUAGUUAAGGACUCGUUUGGUUAGUUUAACUACGAAAUGAUGACCCCACCUUGAAAUUACUUUCUCGUUAGGUUGUCAUUUAGUUCCAAUAAAAGAAGAAAGAAGAAGAAUAAAACGACAAUCAAGUUAAUGUUGUCUAGCUUGCAUAUUUACAUCUCAAUCUAAAUAGUGAAGGAUGAAGUGACCUUAUGUAUGAUCAUAUGCAAGUUAUUACAAUGAGGACUUUAAAUAUUAAAAU
This 911-nucleotide unclassified non-coding RNA is filed under the name Hevea brasiliensis (rubber tree). The record is from RNAcentral. Lineage: Eukaryota; Viridiplantae; Streptophyta; Magnoliopsida; Malpighiales; Euphorbiaceae.